GGGAGGGUGGGGUAUUUUAUGAGGUCGGGCAGAGGGGUGUUUUGGGUGGGGUUGGGGAUAUAAAGCCUGAUAGCACUGGAAAUAGUGCUAUAGCUGAGACAACAAGAGUUUGCACUAAAGUCAUGUCCUUGUCCUGCUAAGGGUAGGAGGGCAUGAGACCUCAGCAAGGCCCUUGAGUUUCCAUGAGCACAGGGUGUUACACACUCAACGGUCCAACACAGAGAGUCCAUCCAUUCCCCUAACCAGCAGACUUGAUCAUGUAAAGGUUCUUCUGAGAAGUAUACCAACAUUAAUUAACCAAACCAAAGCAGAAAAACACUUUGAUAAGUCAUUGCACAUUUAAGCUGUCUUAUCAUGUUGAAUGUAUACAGCAAAGCCUGAAGGUGCUUUGAAAGUUGUAGAAUAGUUCACUAAAGUCAUGUAACUACAGCAAAUCUGAAACUCUCCCUCCAUGUUUGAAAUGUUGUAAACAUUCAGACCCUAUAUAUAACUUCUAUAGCUGCCUCUGGAAGGUAGUAUGACAACCCUCUGAGCAGUGUGUUCCGCAGCAGUGUCUAGAUAAAUUCAGGUGUCCUUUAGGUAGAGUGAGUGUUCUCUGGGACUCUGUGGCCUUGUCUGAGGACUAAGCUUUGUUUAAUGGGUCCAGUAGCAGUCUGGGGCUGGGGCUCUGUCUGUCUGUCUCACCAGGGGGACAUGGGUGAGAACGUGACUUAAAACGGAAGGAAUGGAAGAACCCCUCCCUCGUUCUAAUUGUAGAACACCUUAAUCUAACUUCCUAAUGGUUAGUUAAAACAUGUGGAUGUUGAGGAGUGUGGCUGAAAAUCUCUGGUGAGCCACUCUCAAUCAAACUCCCACUGUAUUGUUUGACCAAACUACUAUGACUUACUUAUAAAUGUAAGAAAAGGUGGACCUAUGAACUAAUUGUUCUACUGGUUGAUGUUGUGGUGUAGUUCUCUGCUACUUCGUUGCCCUAUGUUCCCAUGGUCCCACCCCUGGUGAGACCUCCCAGGCUCAGCCCCUGACCCCUGUUACUCUGACACACGCUACACUGAGAAGGUGUCUCACAACUCCUUCAAGAAAAUACUUAUUGUUUGUGUUUAUCCAAAUCGUCCUUAUGUUUUGUUCCUAAUUUAUUAAGAAAAAGAAAAGAACAUGUCUGAAAGCAUUAAAAACUACGCAAAACAUUUGAUAACAAUUAUAACUAAUAAUCAUAGAACAGGAGUGGGUAAUGGUGGUGGAGGAUAUGUUUUGUUAGUGGUGCUGCACACCUGAAUGUCCAGGCUGGUAAAGCACAGCAAGCUGAGGAUGACAUAUGUAGUAUGGCACAAUGCACAGCGUGGCUCUGGCACUGGCACAGCCAUCCCUGGGGCCUAUCAGAGGCUAUUGGCUGGUUGGUCGGCCAGUUUACUGUAGGAGUCGCUAUCUACUUCAGUGGGGUACAAUGGUUUGUAAAAAGUGGGAGAGACCAGAUCAGGGAAGUUGUGCUGUGCAAUGGUUCAGGUUGCCCCAUCUUGUUGUGUUUCACUGGGAAUUAUAUGAUGUAGCAAAAUGGUGGACGGUGUAGGGGAGUCACAGAACUGGUGAUGGGGAAAUUACAGGGGAAUGUUGAUUAUCUACUUUUCUGUUAGUGCUUCUCAGGUGGAAAGCAACACUGCAAUGCAUUGCGUUUCAAUUUCUGUUUCUGUUCAGUUUGUGGUUUGACCCCAGUAACAUCCAUUUGUACAAUUGCCAAAUUGUACCAAUGUUUAACGAAAUGGUUCCCAGAACGCAGAGCGCGGAAACAGUUGGUUCCCCAUUGCCAUGUGACUGUGACCCCUAUUGCUUUACCUAAUGUUCAUUCAAUGGCUUGUCUGUGGGAGGGAGAGUGCUCAGAAGUCUGUGUUAAUCAGGUUAAAACAUGUAUAAAAGUAUCUGGGUAUGAAGCACAGAGGGAGGGGAGAAGGGUGGGUUCUCUCUCCAGACCCUGGUUUCCAUAUCUCUAAAGACAGGCCUUUGAUUAGAGAUCACAGGCCCUCAGCAGGAGAAGCUGAGAGAGGGAGGGAGGGAGAGAGGGAGAGAAAGAGAGACUCACUUGUGGUUUAAAGCCACCAACCAAUAGAGGAUACAUUCCAUAACUUCAUACUGUAAUUCCCGCUUCUGAGUCUUGGCGUGGGGAGACGGAGGGGAUAGAGGGAGAGGAACAGUCAGCGUUUUACAGCCGAGUGUUUCAAUCUGUCCAUUCCACCUCCUACCACCCCCAGUCUGACAGACAGACAGACAGGCAGGCAGUGAGCUUGGCCUCUCCAGGCUUGGCCGUCCAACUGCCUGAAUGUCUCAGCUUCUGCGAUUGUAACAAAGCACUUUGCGAAAGGCCAUCCAGAAUAUUGUUUGCUGUUUUUUGGGGGUUAUUACUAUUGUUAUUAUUGUUUAUUCUUGUUGAUAUUUUUAUUUCAUUAUGGAUUAUUAUUUAAAUGCAAAGCUACAUGAAAAUGAGAACUUGAAUAUUUGAUAUUUGGGUUGAAGUCCAUUCGAGCUACCGCCCCACUAGGCCAUAUAUACACCUCUGGCACACACACAGUCUCAGCUAAUAGAUGCAGCUCAGUGGGGAUACACUCGGAGUGAAAGGGUUUUAAGGCAAGGUCUCCUUCAUCUCCACAUACAAUCUCUUUGGAAAACAAGUCAUAUAAUCUCAUUGGGAGAGUUGCGCUGCACAGAAACUUCCAUAACAGUUGAGAAGCUUUCUGAGAAGGCUAACUGGGUUGUUCUACUUAAUGUCAAACAUGCAGUACUUUGUAGGUUUAAAGCUGAUUUAUUUUUAUCUCUCACGUCACUUACACAUACUGGUUCAUUAAUGUAUGUGGUGUCUCAUUGCUGUACAAUAGUGCCCCUUGUGUAGCUAGAGUAAAUUGCUGGAUCUGGUAUCCUCAAAUCAUUCUGAGACAUGAAAAUAGGAACGACCAAAUUAUUGUGCAGUUUUUGUUUGGAGUUAAGGUUUUGGCCUUCACAUAGAUUUUUCAGUCAAAUCAAAAUUUGUUUUAGCAAAAUAGAGUAGUAUGCAGAAGUUUGAGGGAGAAGAAAGUGACUAUCCAUUGUAGAUUGAUUUCUAACUGUAAAAAUCACUAACCAUCCAUUCUAGUUUAAAACGCUGGGGCAUUGGGGGCAGCAGAGUAUUCCCUGUCUGUCAGGCUUGGAUGCUAAAAAUCCUGUCCUCUUCAGAAAAGUAAUUUUCAUUAACAUUGUCAGUGUAUUUUGGAAGCUAUGCAGGGCUAUGCAGGGGAUAGGUGGUUCUGGAGAAUUUGCACUUUUGGCUACAAAAAUAAAUUGUAUUGUAUAUGAGACCACUAAAUCCACACCGUCUAAACCAUAUAAUUCCAUUUGUUUUGUUCUGUUUUUCUCUUUGUAAUAUAUCCCAAAAUGUCUGGCGUCCUUGGUUGAACGAAACAACAAUCUUUCUAUUAAAAAAAAACAAUGGUUGUGACUUUUUUGUCUGCAUGCACAUGUUUGUUUAUAACUAGGAAUGGACACUAGCAAAUGCAUUCAAGAGCAAGCCUCUGGCGAUUGUCAUUUCGAAUGUCAGGCUAAUGGUUUCUGUCUCUCUUCUUUUGCCCACACACUAAAACCACAUCAAAUAGCCUUCCCAAGUAUACGUUUCUCAUCAAAUAUUAUCUAAAAACAGUUAAUAGUACUGCAAUAGUUUGCAUAGUUAAUGAAUAUGUAUUUGUACAUUCACGAUGUUUUGCAUUUCAAUAUUUAGUCUAACUCUGCUUCACUUUAAAAUCAUCCCACGAAAAAUACAGCAAUCCAACCUGUGUUAAUUUUUUAUUAUUAAGAAUAUUAUAAAUUACACAUGUACCUUAAUCUAUCAAUGUAAUAUCUGAGAAUUUAUUGCUAUCUUUUACAGUAUUUUUCAAUCGCUUUGGUGCUAUUUUCAC
RNAcentral lists this long non-coding RNA (3911 nucleotides) under Salmo salar (Atlantic salmon). Its description in RNAcentral is "lncRNA (ENSSSAG00000115467.1)". Lineage: Eukaryota; Metazoa; Chordata; Actinopteri; Salmoniformes; Salmonidae. The record is from RNAcentral.